Molecule: ribosomal RNA, 301 nt
Filed under: uncultured bacterium
Lineage: Bacteria
Description: partial 16S ribosomal RNA
Rfam family: Bacterial small subunit ribosomal RNA
Source: RNAcentral
CAGUCGCCGCGGUAACACGAAGGGGGCUAGCGUUGUUCGGAUUUACUGGGCGUAAAGCGCACGUAGGCGGAUCGAUCAGUCAGGGGUGAAAUCCUGGAGCUCAACUCCAGAACUGCCUUUGAUACUGUCGAUCUCGAGUCCGGAAGAGGUGAGUGGAACUCCUAGUGUAGAGGUGGAAUUCGUAGAUAUUAGGAAGAACACCGGUGGCGAAGGCGGCUCACUGGUCCGGUACUGACGCUGAGGUGCGAAAGCGUGGGGAGCAAACAGGAUUAGAUACCCGCGUAGUCCCUGUCUCUUAUAA